GUUGGUAGGUGGAUGUGUGUUAAGUUAAUAGAUAUUCAGACGUCAGUAUGUAGGAGUGUUUGCUCCUGUUGUGACAGGUUUUACAGAAUACGUGUAGAUUCACUAACACUAAUUAGCUGAGAUGACACCCUCACACACACACACACUCAGCACUGGCCAUUAUCCAGAGAGCAAGGGUGGAUGACGGGGUGGGGUGUUUCCAUGGCGACCAGGGUGACAGAAAGACGAGAGGCUCUGCCUCCUGACCCUCAUUGAGGAGUUGAAUGACUGUCGCUGAGCUGGUUGCUCAUCAGCCGGUCGUCGUCACAAUACAAGAGGCAGGAGAGAGAGCGAGGCGGAGAGCGUUCCAGCGGCCAUUUUAGCUUCAUCAGUCUGCCUGAAGUACUUAGCAUUAGCAUCAGAAAGACACGGCUAAGAGCAUCAAAAGCCCUGCAGCCCCUGCCUUUGUGUUUGUUUCACCAUGCAAACCCAACAGCACAGGAGGUUUUUAUUUAUUCAGACUGUGGUUACAGGCCCAGACUUGCAGUGCAUUUGUACAAAUAUGGUAGAAAUUUGAACAAAAACAGCUGCAGGUGCAACCGUCUACACGCAGGAAAAGCUGCAGGGCAACACAGGAAAGGGUUAAGUUGAUCAUUAAACUUGUAUUUGCUCUGUAAUCGGGACGUUUCCUAGCAUAAACAUUCACCUGUCAGCGCCAGGACUGAGCACUGAAUGUAGGUUAUGUUAAGAGCAGGGUUAGGCGUUAAUUGGUUAUGGUUAAGAUAAGGGAUUUCCCUUUUUCCCGAAUGAAUGAGAGUCAGUGUAUCUUGUGUUUUGUGUUUGUGAAUUUAUAUCUUUGUGAGGUCCAAAAAAACGCCUCUUUGUGGGCACAUUUUGACCUUUUGCUUAUCUUUAGAUGUUGCUCGUCUCUGUGCUCUUUUGUUCUAGAAGAAGAACACUUUCAGAGAACCAGAUUAACAAUUUAAAGACUGCAAAGACACCAGAUCACCUGAUACAGAGCCAAACAUUCCUUCUCAGUGUGAUACCUCGACAGGGUCAGAGGCGCAGGGCACCGGUGGUUUUGUUUUUGACAAGCAAUUUGUUUUAGUGUCCAAAGUACAGCAUGAAAUUGAAGAAUGGGGGGACUCUUCCCACAGAAGAAGAAAUGUAAUAUAUAUCAUCAUUUAUUCCACCUAGGGUUUAGAGUGAACUCCAUUCUCGUGCAAUGACACAUAACAAGGUGGGAGAGGAUCCUCCUCCACUUGAAUCUCAAACAACACAGCUGAUACUCUGACGACACAACACACUACACUGCACCACAGACGCAGAGAAAGACACCAAAGAACAAGGAGAUUGUUCGGGGGCGUCGGUUCCUGAGUGACAAAGAAGAAGAUGUGAAUGGAGGUCUGUUUGUGUCGGCUGCUUUUCGGACUGGGUCUAAAGAAAAUCCCUGGAUUGAUUUGGUCCAAGUCAAACCACUUUUGGAUCAGUCCUCCUCCCCCCACCAAAGGGCUGAGUCCUCAGUAAAUCACGGCUGACUCUACAUGAGACGCGUGUUUGGAAAUCCUCGUGGGAUGAGUGCCGUCUGCAUCACCCAUCACAGCGCAGAUCACAAACAAUAACAGGGCUCAUUUCCCUCCUCCUGUCCCAGAGGAGCGGCCUCCGGGGUCAGAGGGGGGGCGUGUCAACCCUGGUCAAGCCCCUGCAGACGGAGGAGGCAUACAUGACGACGACGACGUCUGUUUGUAGGACACACACACACACACGUACACAGACGAGUGUAUGUUACAACCUAGGAUGUUCUUGAGACGAAACUUGAGUCGAAUGACCCCCGAGCACAUCACAGAUACCUCAACACGUCCACAAACACACAUGCACUCAUGUUUCAAUCCUGCAUGUUUACCAUUUUAUCCCAUGAAUUAAAACAUUUCUUUAAAUCUGUAGAAAUAAAAUAAGAAUUGUUCUCACACUUGCACAACUUGGUAAGAAAGAAAAAAACACAUUUAGCCAAAAUACUCUGCAGUAUUUGUUGAUUAAUCCCUGAAAAUGCAGUAUUAUAAGACAUCCUUGUACGUACUAUCACAAUGUAUGUUGGUGCAGAAAACCAUGAUAUUACAUUGAUUCCAUACCAAAAAAAAGACAUACACAAUA
Long non-coding RNA from Solea senegalensis (Senegalese sole), 2130 nucleotides. RefSeq lists it as uncharacterized. The transcript is spliced from 3 exons. The record is from RefSeq and is a predicted model, not a curated record. Lineage: Eukaryota; Metazoa; Chordata; Actinopteri; Pleuronectiformes; Soleidae.